Molecule: ribosomal RNA, 965 nt
Filed under: bacterium HTCC4122
Lineage: Bacteria
Description: bacterial SSU rRNA
Rfam family: Bacterial small subunit ribosomal RNA
Source: RNAcentral
CAAGUCGAGGGGUAUAGUAGCAAUACUAGAGACCGGCGCACGGGUGCGUAACGCGUAUGCAAUCUACCUUUCACAGAGGGAUAGCCCAGAGAAAUUUGGAUUAAUACCUCAUAGUAUAAUUGAAUGGCAUCAUUUAAUUAUUAAAGUCACAACGGUGAAAGAUGAGCAUGCGUCCCAUUAGCUAGUUGGUAUGGUAACGGCAUACCAAGGCGACGAUGGGUAGGGGUCCUGAGAGGGAGAUCCCCCACACUGGUACUGAGACACGGACCAGACUCCUACGGGAGGCAGCAGUGAGGAAUAUUGGACAAUGGGCGCAAGCCUGAUCCAGCCAUGCCGCGUGCAGGAUGACGGUCCUAUGGAUUGUAAACUGCUUUUGCACAGGAAGAAACAUCCCGACGUGUCGGGACUUGACGGUACUGUGAGAAUAAGGAUCGGCUAACUCCGUGCCAGCAGCCGCGGUAAUACGGAGGAUCCAAGCGUUAUCCGGAAUCAUUGGGUUUAAAGGGUCCGUAGGCGGGCUAAUAAGUCAGUGGUGAAAUCUCCCGGCUCAACCGGGAAAUGGCCAUUGAUACUGUUAGUCUUGAAUUAUUAGGAAGUAACUAGAAUAUGUAGUGUAGCGGUGAAAUGCUUAGAGAUUACAUGGAAUACCAAUUGCGAAGGCAGGUUACUACUAAUGGAUUGACGCUGAUGGACGAAAGCGUGGGUAGCGAACAGGAUUAGAUACCCUGGUAGUCCACGCCGUAAACGAUGGAUACUAGCUGUUGGGAGCAAUCUCAGUGGCUAAGCGAAAGUGAUAAGUAUCCCACCUGGGGAGUACGUUCGCAAGAAUGAAACUCAAAGGAAUUGACGGGGGCCCGCACAAGCGGUGGAGCAUGUGGUUUAAUUCGAUGAUACGCGAGGAACCUUACCAAGGCUUAAAUGUAGAUUGACCGGUUUGGAAACAGACCCUUCGCAAGACAAUUUAC